Molecule: unclassified non-coding RNA, 231 nt
Filed under: fungal sp.
Lineage: Eukaryota; Fungi
Description: partial internal transcribed spacer region
Source: RNAcentral
CCCACCACGACAGGAUGAUGUCGUCGCGGCCCGAGACGAUGCGCUCCUCGACCGUGCUCAGCGCGUUGCCCGUCUGCUCGAACUCGGCGUCGAACAGCGGCAGGGACUCGUCAUCGAAGGGCUUGUACAGCAGGGACUCGAUCGUCCGCUGAAGGAAGCGGGCGACGCCGGCGUUAUCCGUAUAGACGCGCGGCCCGCCCUCGAUCAGCGACCCCUCGAUGAAGAACGCAG